Molecule: ribosomal RNA, 494 nt
Filed under: uncultured bacterium
Lineage: Bacteria
Description: bacterial SSU rRNA
Rfam family: Bacterial small subunit ribosomal RNA
Source: RNAcentral
AGUUUGAUCAUGGCUCAGAGCGAACGUUGCGGCGGGCCUAACACAUGCAAGUCGAACGCACUAGCAAUAGUGAGUGGCGCACGGGUGCGUAACACGUGGGUAAUCAACCCUUCAGCUUGGGAUAACGACUUGAAAGGGUCGCUAAUACCGGAUACGGCGCGGGAGGCUUCGGCUUCUCACGAGAAAGCCUCGCAAGGGGCACUGAAGGACGAGCCUGCGGCCCAUCAGCUAGUUGGUGAGGUAAGAGCUCACCAAGGCGAAGACGGGUAGCUGGUCUGAGAGGAUGAUCAGCCACACUGGAACUGAGACACGGUCCAGACUCCUACGGGAGGCAGCAGUGGGGAAUAUUGCGCAAUGGGCGAAAGCCUGACGCAGCCACGCCGCGUGAGCGAUGAAGGCCUUCGGGUCGUAAAGCUCUGUGGGGAGAGACGAAGAAAGCCCGUGAAGAGCGGGCCUUGACGGUAUCUCCUUAGCAAGCACCGGCUAACUCCGUG